CGGCGGUUAUGGCGAAGGGGAAACACCCGGUUACAUUCCGAACCCGGAAGUUAAGCUCUUCAGCGCCGAUGGUACUGCACUCGGGAGGGUGUGGGAGAGUAGGUCGCCGCCGGACA
Molecule: ribosomal RNA, 116 nt
Filed under: Planomonospora parontospora subsp. sphaerica
Lineage: Bacteria; Bacillati; Actinomycetota; Actinomycetes; Streptosporangiales; Streptosporangiaceae
Source: RNAcentral